RNAcentral lists this ribosomal RNA (253 nucleotides) under uncultured bacterium. RNAcentral describes it as "partial 16S ribosomal RNA". It matches the Rfam family "Bacterial small subunit ribosomal RNA", at positions 524 to 776 of the family's 1533-position model. The record is from RNAcentral.
UACGGAGGGAGCUAGCGUUGUUCGGAAUUACUGGGCGUAAAGCGCGCGUAGGUGGUUUGUUAAGUUGGAUGUGAAAGCCCCGGGCUCAACCUGGGAACUGCAUCCAAAACUGGCAAGCUAGAGUACGGUAGAGGGUGGUGGAAUUUCCUGUGUAGCGGUGAAAUGCGUAGAUAUAGGAAGGAACACCAGUGGCGAAGGCGACCACCUGGACUGAUACUGACACUGAGGUGCGAAAGCGUGGGGAGCAAACAGG